UAUUUAUUAUUUGUUUAUAGAUUUAUUAACAGUGGAAGCUGCAGAUGGCAAUAUUUAUAGCGCACAAGCGCUUCUUACUGCUGUAGUAGCGUCAUGCUUAGUUACAUUAAUGGUUGGCUUUGUAAUCGGAUACCUAUUUUCUCGGCGAUUUCGUCACCCAUUUUUUACCGAUACCUCACCAUUCAAUGAACAACACAAUCAUUUAAACAGAUUAAGUCCUUUGGAAACUCCGUUGAAUGUGAAUUCUGGAUAUAUGCCACCUAGAUCCAAAAAUGUGAAUAUGGUAGCGAACGUAUGCCCACUCGCAAAACAAGAUAAUUUGCACAUUGAACUUGGUAAGGAGCGUGCUCUCGAUCUUCGCAAUUCUACGGAAUCUCUCGACAAGGAUCUAAAAUGCGGCACUUUACAAAAAGUUAAAAAGACUUACAUAUGAAAUAUACCCGAAAAGACAGUGUAUGGAACUAUUUCAAAGUGAUAGUAUGAAUUAUGACAUUGUAUCGCGUGUGCCAAGUCUUCCGAGCCAAUCGGUGAGAUCAGCAAGUGUAGUUUGCAUUGAUCGUUGUGAACGUGAAAGUGACUCUUUCUCAUGUAAAUAAUAAAAAUAUAUUUUAUAUUGUUGUACAGUUUACAUAGUUUAAAUAUUGACAUACUAGUUUUAAAAUACAAAGAAACUGCAAUCGUAAAUACCUACGUGCAUUUAUGUGUGUUAAUUUAAAUCCAUUAAAUAUUUCAUCUACGAGAACAUCUAAGUUUGUGAAAUUUGUAUAAAUUAUCAAAAAUUGGACUACGAAAGUAAAAAUUAAAAUAUUUUAUGAUGCAUAUAAAUGUAACCAUAGUAAAGAAUAUAAUCUUUUCAGUAUUAACAACCGUGUCCAUUGUAAAUCGGUAAAGCUAUUAUAACAGCUAAUACAUUCCACAUUUACGUAGAUAUAUAAUUUCGCUACGCCGCUCUGUAAAUAUAAAUAUGUAUAUAAUGCUAAUAUAUAGCGAAAUAGUGGAUUUCAUAUACAUAGGAAAUUAGUUCAAAUAUCAAAAAUCGAAAUAAUACUUAGGAAAAAGUAAUCGUAAGUCUCAUAUCUAGCGAAAUUUAUUUUUAAUGUUUCGGCAAAAAAAUGAGCGAAACAAGCUAUAAGCAAAUAAAACAUGUAAUUAAAAUGAAGUAAAACAAUUGAUUACAUAAAAAAAUUAAAGAUUGUUGUUGUUACUCUAGAUUAAAAUUGCUGUGCUAAGUGCAUAGUGCCUUGUAGGUUGCCAAUCUAGUGCCUAAUGUAAUUUAGGAAGCAUAAAAUGAAUAGAAUAUGUUUAAUCAUCUGUUAAUACAUGUUUUAAAGUUUGCGAAGCUUUUAAGAAUUCCCGAUAGUCCAUAUAUGUUUUCUCCAUUCUUCCCUUACGCAUAGCACUUAAAUUUUUAUAGCUUAACAUUAUUGUGUCGAUUCAAACCUACUAAGAGUAUGGUUUCGAUUUUGAUUCAUUAAAGUAAUGAAUAAAUUCAAAUAUUUAUAAUUGUAUAAAAAGAACAAGUUAACAAUAUUUUGAUACUAAUGAAAAGAAAGGCUAAUUGUACCACCUGAGAAAUCAGAGAUCUAUAAAAAUUAAUAAGUAUUCCCACCGUGACUCAAAGGUUAUUUAAUUAACAGAAUUUAUUUCUGUUUAUUGAUAUUUUAAAGUUUUUUUUUUAUUAUUUUAGAUAUAAAGUGUUAGUUUACUAUUAGGGCACCCUUAAAAAUAAUUUAGAUUUUUUUAUCAAUGUGUGGCAUGGUAUCAUUGUAAAAUCAUACAUGUUAAAACAUACACGCAUUUUAUACAUUUCAAUUAAAAUGACUGUGUACUCCAAGAAUAUGUAUUAUUUAUAUUCUUUGUAUUAAAUAAAUGAAUUAAAAAAAAG
Molecule: long non-coding RNA, 1885 nt
Filed under: Zerene cesonia (dogface butterfly)
Lineage: Eukaryota; Metazoa; Arthropoda; Insecta; Lepidoptera; Pieridae
Description: uncharacterized LOC119829539
Source: RNAcentral